UACCUGGUUGAUCCUGCCAGUAGCUAUAUUCUUGUUUUUACGAUUAAGCCAUGCAUGUGUUAAGAUUAAAUUUUUAUCCGAUGAAUCUGCGAAUGGCUCAUUAAAACAGUUAUAAUUUAUUUGAUGGUCAACUCCUAUAUGGAUAACUGAGGUAAUUCUUGAGCUAAUACAUGCGCCCAGUCUCAACUUCACGGACGAGACGUGCUUAUUAGAUACAGAACCAACCCAUGCUUGCAUGGUUUUUUGGUGAUUCAUAAUAACCGAACGAAUCGCAUAGCAUUGCUGGCGAUGAAUCAUUCAAGUUUCUGACCUAUCAGCUUCCGACGUUAGGGUAUUGGCCUAACGUGGCAAUGACGGGUAACGGAGAAUUAGGGUUCGAUUCCGGAGAGGGAGCCUGAGAAACGGCUACCACAUCUAAGGAAGGCAGCAGGCGCGCAAAUUUUCCAAUCCUGACAUGGGGAGAAAGUGACAAGAAAUAACAAUACAGGGCAUCCAUGUCUUGUAAUUGGAAUGAGUAGAAUUUAAAACUCUCUGCGAGUAUCAAUUGGAGGGCAAGUCUGGUGCCAGCAGCCGCGGUAAUUCCAGCUCCAAUAGC
RNAcentral lists this ribosomal RNA (595 nucleotides) under uncultured marine eukaryote. Its description in RNAcentral is "SSU rRNA". It matches the Rfam family "Eukaryotic small subunit ribosomal RNA", at positions 1 to 598 of the family's 1831-position model. The record is from RNAcentral.